GACAGUGAAGAUGGUUGGUAGGAAUUUUCCCAAGCAAACCUCACCACGAUGCUCAUGUUUACUGGACCGAACUAACGCGGAACAAAUGAUAACAAUUAGAACAACAGCUUUGUUGGCUGACGGGUCGGACGUGCUGAGGGAUGAAACCCCCGCUGGUGCGUGUUGAGAGAAAGAUGAGCCUCUGCAGACGGAUGCUGGCUGCAUUUGAAAGAGAAGCGCUCUCAUGCUCCUCGCUCUGCGGUUUAAAGCUUCAGCGACGUUCACGAAGAACUAAUUAUCUGAGCUUCUUCUUCAACCGAAGGAAAUCUGUUACCCGAGUGAUGAGCCGCGGCAGACAAGUUAAAGUUCUGGUUUCACACAUGAGACACGUUUAUCUGUAUCCCAAACAGACCGAAAUAGAAAUUGGAGGCGCUGAAACAGCUUUGGACAAACACGGCGUGAGGAAGCGUCUCUGUUUGGCAGCUGCGCUGUGGUGAACUGCGAUCAGCCGUCUGGGAAGCAUGGCUUCAUGGGCUGACUGAAAACAAGCGACCGGCUGGUUUCUGCUGCAAUCAACAAGAAACAAACAUGUUAGAUUUAUGUUUACAGAGCAGACUGAGACAUUCCAGGAUCUUUUAAAUAGAAAACUAAAAGAAAAGUUAGCUUUCUUUUAGUUUUCUAAAACUAGUGAUACGUCUUUCAGCUUUUUUCAGUGGCUUUGGCGCUUUUCUCGAAUCAUCUUCAGUAUUAUUUACAAAGCAGUAAGCGAAUCUCUCAAAACAGAAAAACAUCUGCAAACGUCCGUCUCCUGCUCAAAAUCCUAGUUCAUCCCUCAAAAUUAAAUAUCUGUCAGUGAACAUGUCAGCGCCUCAAAUGAUGAGUUUUUGUUUCACUGUUGGGAUAAGAAGGUGGAACUGCUUCAUCAUGUUGUCAGUAUAACUGUACUCUGGAGGGACACUGCGGUAAACUAAAGUUUUGAUGACAUUUAUUGUAAGUUGUAAUUGUGGGAGAUUACGUAAUGGAAAGAUUUACAUUUAGCCUUUUACUGUUUGUAUUGUAAUCUGUUGGCAGUCCACGUGAUUGUAAAGGAAAAGUCAAAAAUGCAGAAAUUAAAGGGGAAAAAGGAAUUAGACUUUGCAAUUUAAUUUCCUGUCUCUUUAAGAAGCUUCUGCUCUUUCUGACUGUCACUGACAUAGCGGUAGCUGCCAUUAACUUUGUCCUCUUUGUUUUCCAUCCGUCCAUCUUUGUUCCUGCAGAAUCCCAGUGGUGAGAUCGGGGUUCAUCCUGAUUUGGUUUUUCUUUCCAUAGAUCGUGCCUCUGGCCAGUGCUUCUGUGUUUAGCAGAGUUUCUGUUCUGGACAAAGACACUGAAGAACCUGUUGCUCCCUUUGCUAGUUGUGGCUCAUACUGAACAUGAGUUUGUUAAAAGCUGGUGGUUGCUCUCCACUGUCACCACAUGCUUGACUCAGAAUGAGGGAUUGCUGCAAAGUUAAUAACUGGAUGCGUUUCACUUCAGAUCUUUGAAUGCAUUGUUUGAUCUACUGCAUCUGGUCCUGUGUUAUACAGUGAGAAUCUGUCUCACUGUAUGAGGAAAUGCACUUAUUUGUCUUGUAAAGUCCCUUAACAUGUUAUAUGUUGUUGCCCCAAUGCUGAACUGAACUAAACUGAAUAUUUUAUAUUUAAUUAGA
Poecilia latipinna (sailfin molly) is the source of this 1666-nucleotide long non-coding RNA. RefSeq lists it as uncharacterized. The transcript is spliced from 2 exons. NCBI's taxonomy places the organism in Eukaryota, Metazoa, Chordata, Actinopteri, Cyprinodontiformes, Poeciliidae. The record is from RefSeq and is a predicted model, not a curated record.